RNAcentral lists this ribosomal RNA (841 nucleotides) under Corophium volutator. RNAcentral describes it as "partial small subunit ribosomal RNA". The stretch from base 240 to 841 matches the Rfam family "Eukaryotic small subunit ribosomal RNA", at positions 1 to 1130 of the family's 1831-position model. The record is from RNAcentral. Lineage: Eukaryota; Metazoa; Arthropoda; Malacostraca; Amphipoda; Corophiidae.
AGUGGUGUGCGCUGCUCUUCGCCUCUCUCGCACUCUCUCGCGUGCGCGCGGUGUCUCGGCGUUCGUGUGUGUGUGUGCUCUUAGCUCACCWGGCCCUCGCGGGUUCUGUGUGUGGCGGGGUGCGCGCGCGCGCGUGCGUAUUCACGGGCCCGCCGCCGCGUGGUCACGGGUGCUUGGGGGUGGGCUCGCUCGCUACUCCCGCGACAUGCUCCCGUCCGUAACAAGCCUCCGCGCCUGCGUACAUAGUGGUGCUUGACUGGGGUGACGGACAAGGCGUCGGCGUAUGCUUGCCGGGCUGGCUUUUGAUGGGCGGCGCGUGUGUGUGUUCGCACGCACACUCUCUCACUCUCUCCAGCUGCCCGUGUCUUCGCUCGCCGCUCGCUCCCGUCUUCUCCUAGAGUAUCAGUGUCACCGUGAGUAAAUCGGAGUGCUCAAAGCAGUCGUAACGGGCCUCGUGCCCUGUGAACAGUCUUGACGGACUGACUUGGUUUUGCAUGGUAUGUCGGAAGACGACGUCGAGCGCUGGCUAAGAGGUAUUUUUAAUGAAUCAGUGGUAUAAGCCAGCCUCGACGUACUGAUUAAAAGGGCUUGUCGAGGGCAUUGGUAUUGCGGAGCGAGAGGUGAAAUUCUAUGACCUCCGCAAGACCGCCCGAAGCGAAAGCGUCUGCCAAGGAUGUUUUCAUUAAUCAUGAACGAAAGUUAGAGGAUCGAAGGCGAUCAGAUACCGCCCUAGUUCUAACCCUAAACGAUGCCAACCAUCAAUCCGCGCGUAGCACCCUUUAUGACGGGCUCGGCGGGCAGCUCCUUUUUCACGGGAAACCAGAGUCUCUGGGUUCCGGGG